Molecule: ribosomal RNA, 253 nt
Filed under: uncultured bacterium
Lineage: Bacteria
Description: partial 16S ribosomal RNA
Rfam family: Bacterial small subunit ribosomal RNA
Source: RNAcentral
UACGGAGGGGGCUAGCGUUGUUCGGAAUUACUGGGCGUAAAGCGCACGUAGGCGGUUUUGUAAGUUAGAGGUGAAAGCCUGGAGCUCAACUCCAGAACUGCCUUUAAGACUGCAUCGCUUGAAUCCAGGAGAGGUGAGUGGAAUUCCGAGUGUAGAGGUGAAAUUCGUAGAUAUUCGGAAGAACACCAGUGGCGAAGGCGGCUCACUGGACUGGUAUUGACGCUGAGGUGCGAAAGCGUGGGGAGCAAACAGG